RNAcentral lists this ribosomal RNA (95 nucleotides) under Serratia marcescens. Its description in RNAcentral is "partial 23S ribosomal RNA". It matches the Rfam family "Bacterial large subunit ribosomal RNA", at positions 1 to 86 of the family's 2925-position model. The record is from RNAcentral. Lineage: Bacteria; Pseudomonadati; Pseudomonadota; Gammaproteobacteria; Enterobacterales; Yersiniaceae.
GGGUUGUGAGGUUAAGUGACUAAGCGUACACGGUGGAUGCCUAGGCAGUCAGAGGCGAUGAAGGGCGUGCUAAUCUGCGAAAAGCGUCGGUAAGG